RNAcentral lists this ribosomal RNA (821 nucleotides) under uncultured bacterium. RNAcentral describes it as "bacterial SSU rRNA". It matches the Rfam family "Bacterial small subunit ribosomal RNA", at positions 681 to 1503 of the family's 1533-position model. The record is from RNAcentral.
GUGAAAUGCGUAGAUAUCGGGAGGAACACCAGUGGCGAAGGCGAUCAUCUGGGGUUGUUCUGACGCUGAAGAGCGAAAGCUAGGGGAGCAAACGGGAUUAGAUACCCCGGUAGUCCUAGCCGUAAACGAUGGACACUAGGUGUAUGUGGUAUCGACUCCAUAUGUGCCGUAGUUAACACAAUAGGUGUCCCGCCUGGGGAGUACGGCCGCAAGGUUAAAACUCAAAGGAAUUGACGGGGGUCCGCACGAGCGGUGGAGCAUGUGGUUCAAUUCGACGCAACGCGAAGAACCUUACCGGGGCUUGACAUCUGCGGACAUUCCAUGAAAGUGGACUUCGGAGCAAUCCGACCGCAAGACAGGUGCUGCAUGGCUGUCGUCAGCUCGUGCCGUGAGGUGUUGGGUUAAGUCCCGUAACGAGCGCAACCCUUGUCGUGUGUUGGUCCACAAGAUCUCUCACACGAGACCGCCGGUGAGAAGCCGGAGGAAGGUGGGGAUGACGUCAAGUCAGCAUGGCCCUUACGUCCCGGGCUACACACGUGCUACAAUGCGCGCGACAGCGAGCCGCAAACUCGUGAGAGUAAGCCAAUCUCUGAAACGCGCGCUCAGUUCGGAUUGAAGGCUGCAACUCGCCUUCAUGAAGUCGGAAUCGCUAGUAAACGCAGAUCAGCUACGCUGCGUUGAAUACGUUCCCGGGCCUUGUACACACCGCCCGUCACGUCACCUGAGUUUAGUGUACCCGAAGCCGUCCGUGUAACCCGCAAGGGAACAAGACGUCUAAGGUAUGCUAGGUAAGGGGGACGAAGUCGUAACAAGGUAACCGU